CCAUGGAAAGAGCAUCGCUGGGCGGCGUUUUGUUGUUCAGAAUAGGAACAAGCAAAAUGAAGGAGAGAUGAAGAACGAAGAGCAACAGAAUUCUCUUUUUCUUUUUUAAUGUAUUUUUUGUAUAUUUAUUUGUUGAGGAACUACUGUAAAUUGUCUAAUAUUAAAGUUAUCAUAUA
This is a long non-coding RNA of Nicotiana attenuata, 176 nucleotides long. RefSeq lists it as uncharacterized. The transcript is spliced from 2 exons. The record is from RefSeq and is a predicted model, not a curated record. NCBI's taxonomy places the organism in Eukaryota, Viridiplantae, Streptophyta, Magnoliopsida, Solanales, Solanaceae.